RNAcentral lists this unclassified non-coding RNA (299 nucleotides) under plant metagenome. RNAcentral's name for it is "partial contains small subunit ribosomal RNA, internal transcribed spacer 1, and 5.8S ribosomal RNA". The record is from RNAcentral.
UUUCCGUAGGUGAACCUGGGGAAGGAUCAUUAUCGAAUUUCGAGGGGAAGGAAGAUGAGGAGUGGAGACUGUCGCUGGCUUUCCCGACUGGGAAGCAUGUGCACGCCUUGCUUUUCGUUGACCUUUCUCUUACUCUCACACCUGUGCACCCAUUGUAGGUCCUCGAAAGAGGAUCUAUGUUUUUAUCAUCACACGCAUCGUAUGUCCAUGGAAUGUAACAUGAUCGUCGAUCGACCUCGCGGUCGGGUGGCGGUCUAAAUAAAUAAAUACAACUUUCAGCAACGGAUCUCUUGGCUCUC